AUGUCUGCAAAUGCUCUGCUUGGUAGCCUUCAUGAAAUUGGAGAUCUUGCACAGGGCAGUGUUCAUAUGAACAAGGUGUGGAAGAACACUUGGGGCCUUCGGCGUGGAAAGUGGGGUUUUAAGCUGGGCGCCAUAUCCCAGAUUCACCACAAAAUGCCCGAUCUGCUCGGUUCUAUCACAAUGGAGAUUCUUUCAAAGAUGAGUGCAACUAGGAGCAGGCUGUGGUUAUCUGGUGGCGGCAAAGGCGACAAUUUGUUAGUGGGGUGCAUUCCAAACACCAGAAAAAACCGCUCUAUCAAUUAA
RNAcentral lists this ribosomal RNA (303 nucleotides) under Triticum aestivum (bread wheat). Its description in RNAcentral is "partial small subunit ribosomal RNA". Lineage: Eukaryota; Viridiplantae; Streptophyta; Magnoliopsida; Poales; Poaceae. The record is from RNAcentral.